GAGCUCAAUUCAGCGGCACAUACAUAAAAACUGGAACAAUCCUGAGAAGAGUAGCAUGAUGCCUGUGCAAAUGAGCGAGGCAUUUCAUAGUUUU
This 94-nucleotide small nuclear RNA is filed under the name Ovis aries (sheep). The record is from RNAcentral. Lineage: Eukaryota; Metazoa; Chordata; Mammalia; Artiodactyla; Bovidae.